GACUAUAUUUUCUUAAUUCACCCCUGAACUGCAAUGUUUACAAUUACUCAUUUCCUGUUUGCAAAGAUUUUGCAUCUGCUGUGUUUCAUUAGAUAUUACACAGUUUUAUUCCGUUUUUACUGUUACGGGAGUCCAUAUCUUCUUUUAGAAGAUACUGUGCAUGAUGUGGAAAUAUUUUAGAACAUUUUUAGACAAAGGCGAGUCCUUUCACAACUUUUCCAGUGUCGGUGGCAUGUCAUUUUGCCUUGUUGAUGUGUAUACCAUGCAAUGAUACCAUGCUACCGAGUCCGAUGCCAGUAAAGAAGCUUGAGAAUUCCUGUUGUAGUUUUCAAUUUAUCAGGACUGUAUCAUGAUCAAAGACAUCCCAACGAAGAUCAGCUAGUCAGACAAUAAGACUGCAACUCAUACAUUUUAUAGAAGUACCAAGAUUACAUGUACAUAGACAAUAUCAUUGUCAAUGUCCAUGACUGCAUGAGCAAGCAAUGAAGCAUGACAUAACUUGAUAACUUCUAAGGACAUUUUUGUAUGUGUGGCUUUUCACUUGACUGUCUCUUGAAUGUGUGGCACAGUGUCCUAUUUAUUGGAAUAAAUCAGAGAAAACUGUGUUCAUGCAUGGUGUAUGCACCCUCUAUCCACUGUGAAAAGGGAGAGCAUGCGCGAUAACAGGAGUAUCCAGGCACGACAAAAACAGAAAGAUCCCUAGACCAUGGAGUAAUAGUAUUACUAACCAGUGUUACCCACAGUCUACCAAGAAAACUAGUACUGAAUAAGGUUUCACACACACAAUGGUGGUUCAUGUGAGAGGAAGAAGUGAUUUGUUGGAGAAAGUUCUUGCUUGUCUUUAUCUACAAAUGAUGUUAAUUUUACAGUAUAUAGAACAUUGAGGGAUUGAUUGAACAAAGCUAUAUAUAGAAAAUAUAUCAAAAUAUUAACUUUA
Mytilus trossulus (common blue mussel) is the source of this 937-nucleotide long non-coding RNA. RefSeq lists it as uncharacterized. Lineage: Eukaryota; Metazoa; Mollusca; Bivalvia; Mytilida; Mytilidae. The transcript is spliced from 3 exons. The record is from RefSeq and is a predicted model, not a curated record.